This is a long non-coding RNA of Beta vulgaris subsp. vulgaris (sugar beet), 1103 nucleotides long. RefSeq lists it as uncharacterized. The transcript has 2 exons. NCBI's taxonomy places the organism in Eukaryota, Viridiplantae, Streptophyta, Magnoliopsida, Caryophyllales, Amaranthaceae. The record is from RefSeq and is a predicted model, not a curated record.
AAAAACCAGACUCAUUUAAAUUUAAACCUAAAUCUACAGGGUCGGCCAAUCGCCUGUGCAAACAGACCAUUAGCACAGGACCCCAAAUAUUUGAGGGCCCAAUUCUCAAAUAUUGCAGCCCAGCUUAAAAAAAAAAAAAAAAAAAAAAAAAAAAAAAACUUCCAGUUCUCUGUCUUCCUUCUUCAAUCUCGGCGUGUAAACUGCAAACAUGAAAUAAACCACGUUCUUCUCUAACUUCCCUUAAUUUCUCUUUCCAAUUUUCAGAGAUUGGUUAUCUUUUAAAAAUCUUCUAAAUUCUUAAUUUCUCAAUUUCUCUUAACAACUUCCCAAAAUUCCCUAACUCAUUCCUUAUUAACCGUUACCUAUGAAAAUAUCAAUUCUGAUUUAUCCAUUUAAUCUUCAAUUAACAACUUUUUUUUUUACUCUUUAUAUAUUUAUAACUCAUUUAUAUUUUUUCAUUAAUUAUCAAUUAGUUUUGAGACAAAAGAAAUUGAAAUUCAUACCUUCAAUAUUUUGUUAUUUUUUGAUUUCUGAAAAUUUGGGAGGAAGAAGAAACCAGAUUCGUGAAGUCGUAAUUCGUGAAGAACUGAAUACCUUAUGUUUCUAAAUAUUCGUGAAAGUUGAGGUCGAACUGAAGAACUGAAGAUUCGUGAAAUUUGCGGUCGACCGUCGAACUUCGAAGAAAUUAAAGCAGAGACAUAAAAGUAUGAGACAGUAACUCAUGGACAUUUGCUUCAUAUGAACUUGUUGAAGGAAGAAGACGAUUAGUACUAUUACUACUGUACAGAUGUACUAGUCUACUAGAUGUGGCUCCCCUCAAAAAUAAAAAUAAAAAAGUCUACUAGAUGUGGCAUGCGGCACAGUGGCAGCACCGUAGCAGGUAUGACCAUAUAAUUCUAUUACUCACAUAGUGUCUUAGUGGCUUAGUUUUAUAUUUUCAGUAUAUGUUAUUUGUACUAUAAGAGUACAAGUAGUAUUAUAAUUUGCUUCAAAAAGCAUUAGAAUAAUAGCUUGUUUUCUGUAGGAGGUUAAUAAUAGCUCUAAGUUGUAUUGAGAUUUUAUUUACCAGUUUAAUAAAGUAGUUUAAAUUUUCGUGGAUUCAA